UUUGAUUAUUCUGAGGGUUUUGUGUUUUAUAUAAAUUUUAAGGUAGAUAGCCAUGGGGUCUCCAACUGCAUGCCAGAUUAACUGGAGAGACUUUGACAGCCCAGGCCAGCACAGUUCCUGCAGCUGCCACUCGACUUUCCUAUACAU
This is a small nucleolar RNA of Arvicola amphibius (Eurasian water vole), 147 nucleotides long. RefSeq annotates it as small nucleolar RNA SNORA44. Lineage: Eukaryota; Metazoa; Chordata; Mammalia; Rodentia; Cricetidae. The transcript has a single exon. The record is from RefSeq and is a predicted model, not a curated record.